UAUGUGAUCGUCUCUCGCAUAUCAAUAAGCGGAGGAAAAGAAACUAACAAGGAUUCCCCUAGUAACGGCGAGUGAAGCGGGAAGAGCUCAAAUUUGAAAUCUUAAAGGGUUUCCCUUUACGAAUUGUAGUUUAAAGAAGUGCUUUCUGUUGAGGUUUUGGUAAAAGUUCUUUGGAAUAGGACAUCAUAGAGGGUGAGAAUCCCGUAUUUGACCUUUACUUUCAACUUUGUGAUACACUUUCAAAGAGUCGGAUUGUUUGGGAAUGCAGUCCAAAAUGGGUGGUAAAUUUCAUCUAAAGCUAAAUAUUGGCGAGAGACCGAUAGCGAACAAGUACCGUGAGGGAAAGAUGAAAAGAACUUUGAAAAGAGAGUUAGACAGUACGUGAAAUUGUCAAAAGGGAAGCGUUUGACACCAGUGUUGUUUUUCUGAAAAUCAAUUAAAGAACUGUUUAUGCUAAGCUGUUUAGACUUUAUCAGCUAUCUGUUUAGUUUUGAGCUUUUCAUUAAUGCACUUUUCAGUUAACAAGUCAACAUCAAUUUCUUUUGCUGUAAAAAAGCUUGAGGAAGGUGGCUUGAGAUUCGUCUUAAGUGUUUAUAGCCUCUUGCCUAUGCAGUCGGAGAGAUUGAGGUCUGCAGCGUAGAUCCUUCGGGGCUAAAUGCAUUUGUGCUAAGUUAUAGCAUUUUAUAGACAACUUGUUGACUAUGAUUUGUCUUGUAGCUUACUCGCUUAUGUUAUUUUACCUACGCUUAGGAUGUUGAAGACUCUACAGAGAUA
This 774-nucleotide ribosomal RNA is filed under the name uncultured Neocallimastigales. RNAcentral's name for it is "partial large subunit ribosomal RNA". It matches the Rfam family "Eukaryotic large subunit ribosomal RNA", at positions 24 to 633 of the family's 3401-position model. The record is from RNAcentral. Lineage: Eukaryota; Fungi; Neocallimastigomycota; Neocallimastigomycetes; Neocallimastigales.